ACGUAUCCGGUUCACGCCUGCCAUAGGGGCAUGGCGACCCGGGUCC
Bifidobacterium cuniculi is the source of this 46-nucleotide regulatory RNA element. It matches the Rfam family "L31-Actinobacteria ribosomal protein leader". The record is from Rfam. NCBI's taxonomy places the organism in Bacteria, Bacillati, Actinomycetota, Actinomycetes, Bifidobacteriales, Bifidobacteriaceae.